This 254-nucleotide ribosomal RNA is filed under the name uncultured bacterium. Its description in RNAcentral is "partial 16S ribosomal RNA". It matches the Rfam family "Bacterial small subunit ribosomal RNA", at positions 524 to 776 of the family's 1533-position model. The record is from RNAcentral.
GACGUAGGGGGCAAGCGUUGUCCGGAUUUAUUGGGCGUGAAGAGCUCGUAGGCGGUGUGUCACGUCGGCCGUGAAAACCUGCAGCUUAACUGUGGGCGUGCGGUCGAUACGGGCAUCACUGGAGUUCGGCAGGGGAGACUGGAAUUCCUGGUGUAGCGGUGAAAUGCGCAGAUAUCAGGAGGAACACCGGUGGCGAAGGCGGGUCUCUGGGCCGAUACUGACGCUGAGGAGCGAAAGCGUGGGGAGCAAACAGG